RNAcentral lists this ribosomal RNA (281 nucleotides) under Latilactobacillus sakei. RNAcentral describes it as "partial 16S ribosomal RNA". It matches the Rfam family "Bacterial small subunit ribosomal RNA", at positions 496 to 776 of the family's 1533-position model. The record is from RNAcentral. Lineage: Bacteria; Bacillati; Bacillota; Bacilli; Lactobacillales; Lactobacillaceae.
GGUCCUUGUGUGCCAGCAGCCGCGGUACUACGUAGGUGGCAAGCGUUGUCCGGAUUUAUUGGGCGUACAGCGAGCGCAGGCGGUUUCUUAAGUCUGAUGUGAAAGCCUUCGGCUCAACCGAAGAAGUGCAUCGGAAACUGGGAAACUUGAGUGCAGAAGAGGACAGUGGAACUCCAUGUGUAGCGGUGAAAUGCGUAGAUAUAUGGAAGAACACCAGUGGCGAAGGCGGCUGUCUGGUCUGUAACUGACGCUGAGGCUCGAAAGCAUGGGUAGCAAACAGG